RNAcentral lists this ribosomal RNA (509 nucleotides) under Salmonella enterica. RNAcentral describes it as "partial 23S ribosomal RNA". The record is from RNAcentral. Lineage: Bacteria; Pseudomonadati; Pseudomonadota; Gammaproteobacteria; Enterobacterales; Enterobacteriaceae.
GGUUAAGCGACUAAGCGUACACGGUGGAUGCCCUGGCAGUCAGAGGCGAUGAAGGGCGUGCUAAUCUGCGAUAAGCGCCGGUAAGGUGAUAUGAACCGUUAUAACCGGCGAUACCCGAAUGGGGAAASGCGCGCGAUACAGGGUGACAGCCCCGUACACAAAAGCGCAUGUGCUGUGAGCUCGAUGAGUAGGGCGGGACACGUGGUAUCCUGUCUGAAUAUGGGGGGACCAUCCUCCAAGGCUAAAUACUCCUGACUGACCGAUAGUGAACCAGUACCGUGAGGGAAAGGCGAAAAGAACCCCGGCGAGGGGAGUGAAAAAGAACCUGAAACCGUGUACGUACAAGCAGUGGGAGCAACCGAGUCUUAAYYGGGCGUUAAGUUGCAGGGUAUAGACCCGAAACCCGGUGAUCUAGCCAUGGGCAGGUUGAAGGUUGGGUAACACUAACUGGAGGACCGAACCGACUAAUGUUGAAAAAUUAGCGGAUGACCUGUGGCUGGGGGUGAAAG